This 400-nucleotide ribosomal RNA is filed under the name uncultured bacterium. Its description in RNAcentral is "bacterial SSU rRNA". It matches the Rfam family "Bacterial small subunit ribosomal RNA", at positions 356 to 773 of the family's 1533-position model. The record is from RNAcentral.
GGGGAAUAUUGGACAAUGGGGGCAACCCUGAUCCAGCGAUGCCGCGUGAGUGAUGAAGGCCUUCGGGUUGUAAAGCUCUUUUAUGAGGGAAGAUAAUGACGGUACCUCAAGAAAAAGUCCCGGCUAACUUCGUGCCAGCAGCCGCGGUAAUACGAAGGGGACAAGCGUUGUUCGGAAUGACUGGGCGUAAAGGGCGUGUAGGCGGUUUUUUAAGUUGGAUGUGAAAGUCCUGGGCUCAACCUGGGGAUGGCAUUCAAAACUGGAGGACUAGAGUUCGAGAGAGGAAAAUGGAAUUGUGAGUGUAGAGGUGAAAUUCGUAGAUAUUCACAAGAACACCAGUGGCGAAGGCGAUUUUCUGGCUCGAUACUGACGCUAAGGCGCGAAAGCGUGGGGAGCAAAC